AGUUGCCUGGUGUCCAUUGUUGUGGGUGUGUCUGAGCAGUACCAGCAGCAUAAAGUGGCCCAGGUGGGAGGAGUGGGAGCGAUCAGAGCCCCAUGGCUGACUCCACUCUACCCCCCUCACUGCCCUGUGGCCUUAUCAAUGCUGCCAACCGGUACCUGAGCGCCGAACCCUUCCGCUUCCAGGUGGUGGCCACGGGCUCGGUGCUGCGGCUCCGCCAGGUCUGGAUGCUGCGCUUCAUGCCCUCACAGGGAGCCGGGGCUGCCGGGCAGGCCGAGGAGAGCGGGCAGAGGCUGCAUCUGCUCAGCUCCCUGCAGCGCUUCCUGGCGGCCGAUCCCAACGGCAAAGUCACCUGUGACCAGGAGAGCCCGGGCCCGGGUGCCCUCUUCCUGCUGCGGCAAUACCCAGACGGCAAGGUGUCCCUGCAGUGCGAGCUCUCCCAGCGCUACCUGGGUGGGGCCGAGGACAACGUCACCUGCUUUGCCCAGACGGUGAGCGAGGGCGAGAAGUGGAGCCUGCACCUGGCCCAGCACCCCAACGGGCACAUGCUGAACCUCGGCAAGCAGCGCUACAUGCGCUGUGACCAGCAGACCGGGCACAUGCGCUGCGACCGCGAUCUGCCCUGGGGGCCCGAGGCCGUCAUCACCCUCCACUUCGACCUCAAAGAGAGGAAGUAUGGGCUGUGGAGCGGGGCUGGGAGCCUGCUGGCUGCCGACGGCUCACUACAGGCCGAGCUGUCCCCUCAAACGCUUUACUCCCUGGAGCUGCGGGGUGGCCUGCUGGCCCUGCGGGACGCAGAUGGCAGGUACCUGACCGGGCGGGAGAACACCGUCAAGACCUUCAAGACGGACAAGCCAGGGCGCGACGAGUUCUUUGCUCUGGAGCCCAGCGCUGCACAGGUCACGCUGCGCACCUUCACCGGGGGCCACUUUGUCUGCUGCAGGCCGGGGGCUGACAUCUAUGCCAACGCCAUGUCCGUUGGCAACACGGAGAUUUUCCAGCUGCUGCUGAAUGAUGUCACCAAGCAGGCCUGCUUUCGCAGCUCCUCCGGCACCUACCUCGCCGUGGGCCCCAACGACUCUGUGGUGAGCACCAGCGCCCACGACAAGGGAGUCUGGUUCUCACUCCAGUACCGGGAGCAGAGGGUGACACUGCGAAUGGCUGACGGCAGACAAGUGGCCACCAGGCCCAACGGGCAGCUGCUGCUGGUGCCCGAGGCAGCAGGCAAGAAGGAGGAGUUCCUGCUGCUGCUGGUGAACCGGCCCCUGCUGAUCCUGCAGAGCGAGGCUGGCUUCGUGGGGCUGUUCCCCGGGACGCAGCGCCUGGACGGGAACCGGCCAGCCUACGACGCCAGCACCCUGACGCUCAGCGAGGACGGCUUCUGCCACUUCAGAGUCGCCAACAAGUACUGGAGCCUGGACAAGGACGGGCUGGUCAUGGCGAAUGAAGACCACCCCAGCAACUUCUCCCUCCAGUUCGUCUCCUCCAGCUGCCUCGUGCUCAAGGCUCCCAACAAGAAGUACCUGGUGGUGGAGGCGGGGGGCCGCCUGUGGGCAGGGGCCUCAGAUGCAGCCUCUGCCACACCCUUCCGCUACUGAGGGUUGCUAGCCCCUGAAAUAAACUUCUCUUCCACUGUCUCAGCCGCUGCCAGCCUAUUGCUGGGACCCCUCCCCUCUUGCUGCCACCCAGUCAUUGCCCAUCUCUCCUCACUAUCAGUAUCCCUCCUGCUAACUGGAGAGUGUAUCCGGGCUGGGGCAGACAGUGCAGGCUGGCAUGGGCCUGGCCUGCCACCUGGAGCCGGCUGUUGGGAGGAGAUGUGGCCCAUGGGGAGGGAGGCGAGUUAAUGGGGCUUCUCCAAGCCAGAGCAGUGCUAUGUGGAGCAGAGAGCAUUCAUGUGCUCUGAAGUGGGAGCAGGUGGCUGUUGCUGCCCUCUAGUGGACCAGGGACAGAGGUGCCUUCUUGCUGUCCCCUGGGGGAAGCCCUACUCUAAUGAAAAGGCUCCAGGCAGCAGCAGUAGCAGAAAAAUAAAUAUUUAUUGGAAAAUAGUAUUGAUUCGGAGGGUGCGAGAGGAGGGGAAAAAGUGCCACGAGUCACUGCUACAGCAAACAACACUGAAUCUGGGGGAGUGGGCGCAAGCACCUCCCCAUCAGUCACUGCACACAUGCGAUAGACAGGAGCUUUUUAAUACUUACAGGGGGGCCCUGGGUGUCUGCCCCUCCGCCCCCAUGCUGAAAUGGGAGGACACAGCAGGUGCAGGCAUGAUCCCUGGGGGUGUGGUCUGGGCCAGGGGCCACCUGGCCUUGUGUGCGUGGGCUUGGACAAACUCUAAGCCCUGGCUGUAGGGGCCAGAAUGGGAUCCAUGACAGCUCCCAGCAGCCUCUUCCCCCCUUCAUGAGGCGCCAGGUCUGGGAUGCGAGUUACAGUCUCUCUCCAAGUCGCUGGGCACACCAGCGGUGGUUUCCUGCCCAGGAGGGGCUAAUGUGGAAUGAGGCUGUGGCUGGGUCUAGCUCUGCUCCAAGGGGCUGGGACGCUGCCAUCAGACCAGCUGUGGAGGGAGGGAAUGCGUGGCCUCGGUCCCCGGCACUGGGGCAAUGCGUAGCCUUGUCUGGCCCGGAACAGCCUGGAUGGAGCCUUAGUACGAGUCCACCCUAGAGGGAGAUAAACAGGAGAGAGCCUGACCGUCAAUAGCAGCCUCUCCAACCCCACCCUGCACAGGGCUCUGGCUGGGGGGAGCUUCCCUCACAUCCCUGGGCAACCCUAUCACCCCAACUGCUUCCCCACCCUCCCGUGAAUCUGUCCUCGUAGUGGGGAGAGGCAGCCAAUCAGAGGAGAGGAGUGCAGAUGAGGAAACCGAGGCAGGGCAGUCAGGAAUGGCACCCAGGAGUCCUGAUCCCCAGGCAUGUGCAUGAGCCGCUUGCCCAGCUUUUCCUGUUUGUAUCAUCAGCGUUUUCUCUCCCCACUUUCCCUCCCUCACCCUGUCUCCACCACAGCCUCCCUCUUUGCCCAUUACCUAGUUAUUCCCUCAUUUCCACUAGCCCAGGAAUGGUCCAGUCUCCCCCAGUCCCAGUGCUUUUUCACCCCUUGGAUCCUGUCUCCCUCCCCAUCCCAGCUCCUCCCCUGCCCCAUGUUACCCCUCCAGACCCUGCCCACACCUGCUCAGUCUCCCACUGCCUCCCAGUGCUGCUGCUUCUCAGGGCAGGAAGGGGCGGGGGUUGGGUACCUAGAGAAGGAGGCCAGGGUGAGGAUGCCCAGGAGCAGCUCGACGGCGUAGAAGAGCAGCAGGAUGGCAUUGAGGAUGGCCUCCAGCCGCAGGGCGUAGGUCUGCAGCAGCAGGUAAUAAGCUGCCAUCACGGCCGCUGGGAAUGUCAAGGCCAGGCUGAUGGAGAGCGGCACCUUCCGCUGGCACAGGUUCCCCUUGGAGCC
Molecule: RNA transcript, 3420 nt
Organism: Chelonia mydas (Green sea turtle)
Lineage: Eukaryota; Metazoa; Chordata; Testudines; Cheloniidae
Gene name: fascin
Exons: 7
Source: RefSeq, a predicted model, not a curated record